AUUUAAAUAGCUCAUAUAUAGAGUAUAGCACUGAAGAUGCUAGGGAGGUUAUGUAACCUUUAAAUA
RNAcentral lists this transfer RNA (66 nucleotides) under Exhyalanthrax sp. Its description in RNAcentral is "tRNA-Phe". Lineage: Eukaryota; Metazoa; Arthropoda; Insecta; Diptera; Bombyliidae. The record is from RNAcentral.